RNAcentral lists this ribosomal RNA (494 nucleotides) under uncultured bacterium. Its description in RNAcentral is "partial 16S ribosomal RNA". It matches the Rfam family "Bacterial small subunit ribosomal RNA", at positions 28 to 507 of the family's 1533-position model. The record is from RNAcentral.
GACGAACGCUGGCGGCGUGCUUAACACAUGCAAGUCGAACGGUGAAGCGCCUUCCUUUUUGGUGGGUGUGGAUGAGUGGCGAACGGGUGAGUAACACGUGAGUAACCUGCCCCCUUCUUCUGGAUAACCGCAUGAAAGUGUGUCUAAUACGGGAUAUUCUGGGUCUGUCGCAUGAUGGGUCUGGGACAGAUAUUGUUUCGGUGGGGGAUGGGCUCGCGGCCUAUCAGCUUGUUGGUGGGGUGAUGGCCUACCAAGGCGGUGACGGGUAGCCGGCCUGAGAGGGUGGACGGUCACACUGGGACUGAGGCACGGCCCAGACUCCUACGGGAGGCAGCAGUGGGGAAUAUUGCACAAUGGGCGAAAGCAUGAUGCAGCGACGCCGGGUGAGGGAUGGAGGCCUUCGGGUUGUGAACCUCUUUCGCCAGUGAAGCAGGCCUGCCUGGUUUGUGGGUGGGUUGACGGUAGCUGGAUAAGAAGCGCCGGCUAACUACGUG